UCCUGGAAAAAAGCAUGUGCGCCUGAAAAAAAAAAAAAAAAAAAAAAAACGGAAAAUUAGG
RNAcentral lists this non-coding RNA (61 nucleotides) under Lotharella globosa. Lineage: Eukaryota; Cercozoa; Chlorarachniophyceae. The record is from RNAcentral.